GAAGUUCUUGGAGCCACUGGGACAGCAGAACCGGACAGUGUCUGCUCAGACUAAGCAACACCUCGGCGAAAUGAUCCAUCAGACUUCGAGGAGAUCCACCGCCAACUGCCUGUGAGAGCCACGCAGAUGGGCAAAAGAGACUGUCCAUCUGCUGGAUAUGAGGACUGAUGAGCGAGUGCAAUUUUCCCAAGAUCUCCUCGGCUGGAAGAGCGGAAAGCAGGAAGCCCAGAGCCUGCAUGAGCCACAUGCACUGGCUGCUCUGCACAUACAGAAAAUCCAAUCACACAUGGCUUCCUCACUUGCGGCACACUGACCUUUAUCUCAAUGCUCACUCACCUUAUGGAGACCUUUAACCAGCACAUCCUAUCGAGUAAGACAUUAUUAUUAUUUGUACCGAUGUAGUUUCCUCAACCAUCUGAAGUCACGUGUACAACCUGGCACACGGUGAGAAUGUCCUGAGUGAAGGAUCCGAGGUCGUGUCGACACUCCCUGCAGAUCCUCUUCAGAGUCGAAACACUGGACACGGACAGCUCGGGCCUCGCCAGAGCUUGGAGGACCAUGGGUAACAUGCCCCCAAGCAUCACCGGGUGGUCCACCAGCCACUCCGCCAGGGAUCCUUGGCAUCAUUAGCCGAUAAAAUACAUGACAAAAUCUGCUUAUAAUACACUGGAAAACAGUACAUCAUUCAAAAAAAGCAGUUAUUUAAAUCUGUAAAACGCUCAUUCUCAAAAAUGUAUCUGACUCUAAAAUGAAUAAAAAACACUUUAGGUACCUCUGAGUAAAGAGUAAAAGUGAAAAGGCCACACUGUUAAAAAAAA
Molecule: long non-coding RNA, 818 nt
Organism: Hippocampus zosterae (dwarf seahorse)
Lineage: Eukaryota; Metazoa; Chordata; Actinopteri; Syngnathiformes; Syngnathidae
Exons: 2
Source: RefSeq, a predicted model, not a curated record